RNAcentral lists this ribosomal RNA (715 nucleotides) under uncultured bacterium. RNAcentral describes it as "bacterial SSU rRNA". It matches the Rfam family "Bacterial small subunit ribosomal RNA", at positions 1 to 768 of the family's 1533-position model. The record is from RNAcentral.
UAGAGUUUGAUCCUGGCUCAGAACGAACGCUGGCGGCAGGCUUAACACAUGCAAGUCGAACGCCCCCUUCGGGGGGAGUGGCAGACGGGUGAGUAACGCGUGGGAAUCUACCCAACCCUACGGAACAACUCGAGGAAACUUGAGCUAAUACCGUAUACGCCCUUUUGGGGAAAGAUUUAUCGGGGAUGGAUGAGCCCGCGUUUGAUUAGCUAGUUGGUGGGGUAAUGGCCUACCAAGGCGACGAUCAAUAGCUGGUCUGAGAGGAUGAUCAGCCACAUUGGGACUGAGACACGGCCCAAACUCCUACGGGAGGCAGCAGUGGGGAAUAUUGGACAAUGGGCGCAAGCCUGAUCCAGCCAUGCCGCGUGAGUGAUGAAGGCCCUAGGGUUGUAAAGCUCUUUCAACGGUGAAGAUAAUGACGGUAACCGUAGAAGAAGCCCCGGCUAACUUCGUGCCAGCAGCCGCGGUAAUACGAAGGGGGCUAGCGUUGUUCGGAUUUACUGGGCGUAAAGCGCACGUAGGCGGAUCGUUAAGUGAGGGGUGAAAUCCCGGGGCUCAACCCCGGAACUGCCUCUCAUACUGGCGAUCUGGAGUUCGAGAGAGGUGAGUGGAAUUCCGAGUGUAGAGGUGAAAUUCGUAGAUAUUCGGAGGAACACCAGUGGCGAAGGCGGCUCACUGGCUCGAUACUGACGCUGAGGUGCGAAAGCGUGGGGAG